GGCAGACAUGUCCCAAAAUCCAGAAGGAGCAUCAUAUAUUUGAAAUGCCAACCCUGUUACAUCAAGCUGUCCAUGAAGAUUUGGAAAACUUUCCCCCUUUUCCAUGCACAUGUGCACCUCGCCAGUAGCUCUUCCUUUGGACCAUAUGAUUGGAAUUUCCAAUAUCCUCUCAAAAAGCGGAACAAAGAGGUUCACAAUCUUCAGAUUCGCAUGCCAUUUCUGCUCAGUAAUAUCAACAUAAACAUCUGUUGAUAACCAACCACCAUUGUCAGAUCUGAUGUCCGAUCGCCACAUCUUAC
Molecule: unclassified non-coding RNA, 299 nt
Filed under: Hevea brasiliensis (rubber tree)
Lineage: Eukaryota; Viridiplantae; Streptophyta; Magnoliopsida; Malpighiales; Euphorbiaceae
Source: RNAcentral